Molecule: ribosomal RNA, 455 nt
Filed under: uncultured KB1 group bacterium
Lineage: Bacteria; Candidatus Calescibacteriota
Description: bacterial SSU rRNA
Rfam family: Bacterial small subunit ribosomal RNA
Source: RNAcentral
GUGCCAGCAGCCGCGGUAAGACGAAGGGCGCAAGCGUUAUCCGGAAUCACUGGGCGUAAAGGACGUCUAGGCGGCCUAUCGGGUCGACGGUGAAAGUCCUCGGCUAAACUGAGGAAAGUACGUCGAAACUGGUAGGCUUGAGGAACGUAGGGGGAGGCGGAACUCUCGGAGUAGCGGUGGAAUGCGUAGAUACCGAGAGGUACCUCGAUGGCGAAGGCAGCCUCCUGGGCGUUUCCUGACGCUGAAGCGUUAAGGUCAGGGGAGCGAAGGGGAUUAGAUACCCCCGUAGUCCUGACUUCAAACGAUGUGGGCUAGGUAUCGGGACAUGAAGAGCUCGUUGCCGUAGUUAACGCGUUAAGCCCACCGCCUGGGGAUUACGUCCGCAAGGAUGAAACUCAGGGGAAUUGACGGGGGCCCACACAACCGGUGGAGCACGUGGUUUAUUUCGAUGAUAA